Molecule: unclassified non-coding RNA, 89 nt
Filed under: Pseudomonas sp. A214
Lineage: Bacteria; Pseudomonadati; Pseudomonadota; Gammaproteobacteria; Pseudomonadales; Pseudomonadaceae
Source: RNAcentral
UGUGGGAGCGAGCCUGCUCGCGAUGGCGUUGGACCCGUCAGCCUCGAUUUGGCUGACACAUCGCUAUCGCGAGCAGGCUCGCUCCCACA